CCUACGGGAGGCAGCAGUGAGGAAUAUUGGUCAAUGGACGCAAGUCUGAACCAGCCAAGUAGCGUGCAGGAUGACUGCCCUAUGGGUUGUAAACUGCUUUUAUAAGGGGAUAAAACGAGGCACGUGUGCCUUUUUGCAUGUACCUUAUGAAUAAGGAUCGGCUAACUCCGUGCCAGCAGCCGCGGUAAUACGGAGGAUCCGAGCGUUAUCCGGAUUUAUUGGGUUUAAAGGGAGCGUAGGCGGUUUCUUAAGUUAGUUGUGAAAGUUUGCGGCUCAACCGUGGAAUUGCAGUUGAUACUGGCAGGCUUGAGUGCAGUUGAGGUAGGCGGAAUUCGUGGUGUAGCGGUGAAAUGCUUAGAUAUCACGAAGAACCCCGAUUGCGAAGGCAGCUUACCAAACUGUGACUGACAUUGAUGCUCGAAAGUGUGGGUAUCAAACAGGAUUAGAUACCCUUGUAGUC
RNAcentral lists this ribosomal RNA (460 nucleotides) under uncultured bacterium. RNAcentral describes it as "partial 16S ribosomal RNA". It matches the Rfam family "Bacterial small subunit ribosomal RNA", at positions 338 to 795 of the family's 1533-position model. The record is from RNAcentral.